AAUACCUCAGUCUUAUCAGGUGUUCUUUCAAUUCACCUGGCAAUACUGAGGUUGUGU
RNAcentral lists this microRNA precursor (57 nucleotides) under Ornithorhynchus anatinus (platypus). Its description in RNAcentral is "Oan-Mir-875_pre stem-loop". Lineage: Eukaryota; Metazoa; Chordata; Mammalia; Monotremata; Ornithorhynchidae. The record is from RNAcentral.